UGCCUCUCGAAAUAACAUGAGAGGUCCCUCCUGCCCAGUGAAAAAAUUUUCAACGGCCGCGGUAUCCUAACCGUGCAAAGGUAGCAUAAUCACUUGCCUAUUAAUUGUAGGCUAGAAUGAACGGAUAAACGAAAUAAGCCCUGUCUCAAUUAAAUUAGAUAAAAACUAUACUCUAAAUGAAGAUAUUUAGAUAAAAACGAAGGACAAGAAGACCCUAUAGAGCUUUAUAUUUAUUUUCAGAGAAAAAACUCUAAAACAAAUUCGGUUGGGGCGACCAAGGAUAUAAAAAUCAUCCUAUAUUUCAAGAUUCAUAAAUCUCUAUAAAGACCCUUAUUAAAGAUCUUAAGAACAAGCUACCUUAGGGAUAACAGGCUAAUCUCAUUAAAGAGUUCUUAUCUACAAUGUGGGUUGGCACCUCGAUGUUGGCUUAGGGUAUCAGUAUGGCGCAAAAGUCAUAAAACGAUGGUUUGUUCAACCAAUAAUUCCCU
This 488-nucleotide ribosomal RNA is filed under the name Glyphidrilus borealis. Its description in RNAcentral is "partial 16S ribosomal RNA". It matches the Rfam family "Bacterial large subunit ribosomal RNA", at positions 1817 to 2597 of the family's 2925-position model. The record is from RNAcentral. Lineage: Eukaryota; Metazoa; Annelida; Clitellata; Crassiclitellata; Almidae.